ACAAUAAAGAUCCCAUUGCCAUCACCAAAAUAACAUUUGAUUCCAGUUGUGAAGAAGGGUUUCUAUUAAUGGUUCAUACGUUAUGAAAAUAAAGAAAGAUCCUCGGUAACAGCUCUUUAAUUUCUGAUAAUUAAUCCUGGACACUAUAUAAACCUGGAAAGAUGUUAUCUUCCGAAGGUUCUCAGUUUUUUUCUGAACCAUACACCGUCAAGAUUACUGUUAAUGAUGGACAUAUUUCAGAUGGUAUAGGAUAUAUAGAGAAAAGAAGCAGCACCCAUCUCUGGUGGUAAAUAGGAUUACGUUUUGGCAAAGAGAGAAAAGAGGCAGCACCCAUCUCAGUUUUGGCAAAGAGAAAAACUUUUCAGUUAAUUUUAGGUAAUAUCAUUCCAGUUUUUAGUAGUGGAGGCUGGAGGGGAUUUUAGAUUAUAUGCAAUAAUCACUUAGGUGAGUACACUUUUUAGUGGGAAAUUUUAUACAAAAAGUCAGUUGUGGUUAACUCCGUUUCUGAAAAGUGCCGCAGGUAAACCAUAUAUACAGAUAAAUUGAACGUCAUAUGGUUAUUUUUAUUUUAAGAAACUUUUGUUAUGUGAUUUAUCCCGAUAACGUCCCAUGAUAUGCUCAAUAAAUAUUCUGACAUAAUUCAUUUUUAUAAAAUAACUUAUUCAAUUGGGAAUAAUACGUACAGAUGUGUGUUGAGAUUAUUAGUCUCACAUUGUUGGACAAUCUAAGAUCUUGCGGCUUAUAAUUCCUUAGGGCCUCUCCACUCAUUGCCAAUUGGUUUUGAGUUGGAUGCCCGUAUUCUAACAUGGUAUCAGAGCAGGCUAUUUGCAACGAGUCUAUGACCGCACCUUUACUCCGCGUCACCCGAUUAAAUUGUCCACGUGUUAGACCCAACGAGACUACACGUGAGGGGGCGUGUUGAGAUUAUUAGUCUCACAUUGUUGGGCAAUCUAAGAUCCUGCGGCUUAUGACCCCUUAGGUCCUCUUCACUCAUUGCCAAUUGGUUUUGAGUUGGAUGUCCGUAUUCUAACAAUGUGUUCAAAGUCCAAUGGUAAUAUCAUAUGAUUUGCAUACUUUGAAGUCCGGAAGUUUACUUUCCAUCGCCACUUUUUAAACAUUUAAAAAAGUGAAUUGUUUCGGUCGACUUCGAAUUCAGGAACCCUUGCUUCUUAAGUGUUGAUAAGUGGAAUUGAUUACCACGUAGAAUAAUUAGAUUACUUUGAAUUUUUCCUCAUGUUCUGUUUUUCAACCAGUGAGCUCUGCCGGCUUUCUCAUUGUAUCAUCAACCAGCAGUGAAAACUAAAACUUUAAUGUAGUCUUAUUGUGUCUUUUAUGGUCGCAAAACUUGAUUGUAUGACAUCCCUGCUAUGAUUGAUGGCGAGACUGUUAAUGUUAGUCUUUACCAUUUGAGAUAACUUUGUUUGCUAAAGAGAGGCAACGUUAGUGGCAUCGCCAGCAAUCAUAGUGUUGUAUAAAAUGAGCUGCUAUAGGGAAACAACAACCAGUGGGAAGUGCAGGCUCCUGCAUCGGAUCAUCACCCAGCAUGGGAAACUGAAAAGUAACAAACCACUACCAGCACUACCUCCUUCCCUAUUUUGCUUACCGGUCAUUUUUAGGGCAAGGAAGUUAAAAUUUCCGGUAAAGCAAAUGAAAUCCAGGUUGGUCAUAAUCCAAGUUUGAGGAUAUGGUGAUUACUCUAUUUGCUUUGCGCAGUAUGAUACCCUGGGCUAUCACCUUUAUAAAUGGAUAGGCUAUGCAGUAGUCUUACCAUGAAGGCAUGAAGUAACUGCAUCAUCCAUCAUGUGACCAAGAGACCGUGACAGGUGUAAGUGGCUCAGUACACAAAGCCAUUAUCAAUUGUUGAUCGAAUUCUUGGUGUUUAAGAAAAACAUGGAAAUCAUCAGGAAGCAAACGCCUCCGUGGUUCUGUGGAUGAAGAAGUUGAAUGGAGUUCAGUGUCCUUCAUUUAUUAUUCAUAACAUUUCCAUUAACAAUUUAUUUUCCAGAAUAACGUUUUGGUUUGGAUUAGCGAGAGAUAGGUCUGUAAUUUCGUUAAGUUUUUCUCCCGUUCGUUCCUUUUAUCAAUUUGAGUGUUGGUUUUCAUA
Long non-coding RNA from Papaver somniferum (opium poppy), 2104 nucleotides. RefSeq lists it as uncharacterized. The record is from RefSeq and is a predicted model, not a curated record. Lineage: Eukaryota; Viridiplantae; Streptophyta; Magnoliopsida; Ranunculales; Papaveraceae. The transcript is spliced from 4 exons.